CCUGGUCGCUUCGGGGUUUGAAAACGAAAGGCAAGAGCAACAUGGCGGAGACUCCACUCCGGCCCGGGCUUGGGAGAGGGUCAGGCCGGGGCGGGAUCAGGCCUUAGCAACCGACAUCAACCCUUAGCAACCGCUGCCCGACCUUUUAUACCACCCUGUAGCUUCUUUAAGCCCGGAGACUACAUUUCCCAGAGAGCCAUGCGGGGCCAGGAUGUGCGUAACGCGCAGGCGCCGGGACAUUUUUCUGUUUAUAUAAGGGAGGUGCGCGGUUUGUCUUCCUCUUUCUGAUCUCCGCUUCUUUAGUGUUUGCUUUGUGUCGUUCUUCAUCCGGAGCCAUCGUGGUCUUGGAAUGCCUCUUGGUGAACUACUUCUGGAAGGAGGAGGGAGGCAUAUUAUGGGGAUUUUGGAGACCUGGGUGUUUAGGUACCAUGACCCCAUGCUGGCUUCUCUUCUGAUUUCAUCAGACUUGAUACCCAUUCCGGUGAUUUGAUUUGGAUCAGAUUAUUGGAUUUACCUAAUAGUCCCUGGAAGGAUAGAUAGGCUAGCUCUCAAAAUGAGCCGAAGGUGUUAGGGUGCCAGUGAUGACUGUCUAAUACCAUACAGACUAGAAUGGUAUUCAAAGUACUCAGCAUUCCUUAAAGGAAUUUAAAAUUGGUGGAUGACCAAUUGAAAUGAAGUAAGUGAAAUUUGGAGACUUGAAAAAUCUGAGGUGUGGCCUUAAAUGAAGAAGACAGCCUUUGCUUAUGAAUAUGAAACAUUGAGUUGGCUGUUCCAGCUGUUAUUAGAAUAAAAUAGUCUUGUUUUACAUUUUGCAAAUAAAUAAAAAAUUUGUUAACUUUGAA
This is a long non-coding RNA of Vombatus ursinus (common wombat), 842 nucleotides long. RefSeq lists it as uncharacterized. The record is from RefSeq and is a predicted model, not a curated record. The transcript is spliced from 5 exons. NCBI's taxonomy places the organism in Eukaryota, Metazoa, Chordata, Mammalia, Diprotodontia, Vombatidae.